UACAUGCAAGUCGAUCGCACUACUCGGUAGUGAGAGGCGAACGGGUGAGUAACACGUAGGGUAACAUAUCUAGUAUGACGAGGAUAACGGUUGGAAACGACUGCUAAGACUGGAUAGGAGUAGAGGAGGCAUCUCUUUACUUUAAAGGACUUUUCGGAGUACGCGUAUGGAGUGACCUGCGGCGCAUUAGUAGUUGGUGGGGUAGUGGCCUACCAAGACGAUGAUGCGUAGCCGGACUGAGAGGUUGAACGGCCACAUUGGGACUGAGACACGGCCCAGACUCCUACGGGAGGCAGCAGUAGGGAAUUUUCGGCAAUGGGGGGAACCCUGACCGAGCCAACGCCGCGUGAAUGACGAAGUACUUCGGUAUGUAAAGUUCUUUUAUUAAGGAAGAAAGUGCAGUGGAAAAACUGUAUAGACGGUACUUAUUGAAUAAGCCCCGGCUAACUAUGUGCCAGCCGCCGC
RNAcentral lists this ribosomal RNA (465 nucleotides) under uncultured bacterium. RNAcentral's name for it is "bacterial SSU rRNA". It matches the Rfam family "Bacterial small subunit ribosomal RNA", at positions 52 to 518 of the family's 1533-position model. The record is from RNAcentral.